RNAcentral lists this ribosomal RNA (495 nucleotides) under uncultured bacterium. RNAcentral's name for it is "partial 16S ribosomal RNA". It matches the Rfam family "Bacterial small subunit ribosomal RNA", at positions 28 to 507 of the family's 1533-position model. The record is from RNAcentral.
GACGAACGCUGGCGGCGUGCCUAAUACAUGCAAGUAGAACGCGGAAGGAGGAGCUUGCUUCUCCGGAUGAGUUGCGAACGGGUGAGUAACGCGUAGGUAACCUGCCUGGUAGCGGGGGAUAACUAUUGGAAACGAUAGCUAAUACCGCAUAAGAGUGGAUGUCGCAUGACAUUUGCUUAAAAGGUGCAACUGCACCACUACCAGAUGGUCCUGCGUUGUAUUAGCUAGUUGGUGAGGUAACGGCUCACCAAGGCAACGAUACAUAGCCGACCUGAGAGGGUGAUCGGCCACACUGGGACUGAGACACGGCCCAGACUCCUACGGGAGGCAGCAGUAGGGAAACUUCGGCAAUGGACGGAAGUCUGAACGAGCAACGCCGCGUGAGUGAAGAAGGUUUUCGGAUCGUAAAGCUCCGUUGUAAGAGAAGAACGAGUGUGAGAGUGGAAAGUUCACACUGUGACGGUAUCUUACCAGAAAGGGACGGCUAACUACGUG